GAUGAAGAACGCAGCGAAAUGCGAUAAGUAAUGUGAAUUGCAGAAUUCAGUGAAUCAUUGAAUCUUUGAACGCACAUUGCGCCCCUUGGUAUUCCGGGGGGCAUGCCUGUUCGAGCGUCAUUUCAACCCUCAAGCUCUGCUUGGUAUUGGGCACCGUCCUUUGCGGGCGCGCCUCAAAGACCUCGGCGGUGGCGUCUUGCCUCAAGCGUAGUAGAAUACACCUCGCUUCGGAGCGUAAGGCGUCGCCCGCCGGACGAACCUUCUGAACUUUUCUCAAGGUUGACCUCGGAUCAGGUAGGGAUACCCGCUGAACUUAAGCAUAUCAAUAAGCGGAGGA
This 337-nucleotide unclassified non-coding RNA is filed under the name soil metagenome. RNAcentral describes it as "partial contains 5.8S ribosomal RNA, internal transcribed spacer 2, and large subunit ribosomal RNA". The stretch from base 1 to 120 matches the Rfam family "5.8S ribosomal RNA", at positions 35 to 154 of the family's 154-position model. The record is from RNAcentral.